UACGUAGGGGGCAAGCGUUGUCCGGAUUUAUUGGGCGUAAAGAGCGUGUAGGCGGUUUGGUAGGUCCGCUGUGAAAACUCGAGGCUCAACCUCGAGACGCCGGUGGAAACCAUCAGACUAGAGUCCGGAAGAGGCGAGUGGAAUUCCUGGUGUAGCGGUGAAAUGCGCAGAUAUCAGGAGGAACACCAAUUGCGAAGGCAGCUCGCUGGGACGUUACUGACGCUGAGACGCGAAAGCGUGGGGAGCAAACAGG
Molecule: ribosomal RNA, 253 nt
Filed under: uncultured bacterium
Lineage: Bacteria
Description: partial 16S ribosomal RNA
Rfam family: Bacterial small subunit ribosomal RNA
Source: RNAcentral